Molecule: long non-coding RNA, 21604 nt
Organism: Bombus huntii
Lineage: Eukaryota; Metazoa; Arthropoda; Insecta; Hymenoptera; Apidae
Exons: 5
Source: RefSeq, a predicted model, not a curated record
CCCUUGCUCCUGUUCGCUAAGGGGUACCGUUUUGUUGUGCAGAGUGUAUGCAGCUUGCUGCAUCAUGAGAAAGAUUCGCUGCGUCCAAAGUAAAAGGUGAAUAAAUAUCACGCAUCGCUCUACAACGUCUUUUGCUACCUACUCCAAUUGAUAUUCAUGUAUCGGUUUAAUUCAGUUAUAUCCGAAUGUUAUUUUUUCACAUUUCCGUUUCAGAAUAACAUUUUCCUUUUUCAAUGAUUCGCUUGUUGUUUUAACUAUCCAAAUAGAGGAGUUACGUGAAAUAUAAACAUCGAUGCUACUGGACUGUAUAGUAAAAUUCGUGCCAUCAAAAAUCAAUGAUCGAAUGAGAAUCGUUUGAAAAGAAUUUCGCGAAAAUCGAAGUUCGAAAUAUAAAUACGCGUAUAUCUGAAUGUUUGGUGGAAAGGUGAAAUUUUAUACGCAAGUAACAACACUGGAGGAUGAGCUUGUUUUCUUCAACCUAAUGGAAAUCACGAAAUAUUAGGUUGUCCGAAAAGUGUCUUUCUUUUACAGACACGUCUUUUACAACGACGCGUUUCUAUACAAACAUGAAACCUAAUCCGUCGAACGUUGUGAUCUUUAUUUUGAUAGAACAAAAUGGGUCAUACGUAAUUCGAUAAAAUAAUAUAAAACGGAAAAUCUUGUGCGUCCAUUAUUUCCUUAUAAAACGAAAGAAACUUUUCGCAUCACCUGAUACAUGUGACGACGUAUUUAGCGACAAAAUUCCUGAUAUUGCUGUAUACAAAUUCUUCAAAUCCUUGAAUAUUAUUUAAACCAGAACACCAUAUUUUUAUUCAUAUAUAUAUAUAUAUAUAUAUAUGUAUCUCCCACGAGUGGAAGGUAACGUUAGCCAGUGCUUGCACGCUAUUAGAAACUCCCAAGCCCGAAUGCUCACCCUGAACACGCCACUGAUCCAAACUGAAAUCGUUCACUCACGACACGCGGUGAAUUAUAAAUCACGGUUGCCCGAGUGGUGCGAGCGGAGCGUCCAUUCAUCGAAAACCGGGAUGGCGUUCACGCCUCGAAUGUGAAAUCGAAAACUGGGACGGCAGAAAUUCGGGCCGUUCCUCCGCUAUCAGAAAAUCUCUGUCGCCCGAAGCGGAGAAACACUAGUGGGACAGCCUUCAUGUACAAUCCGUCGUUAUAUCGUUCCACAAUUGACAAGCUAUCGGCUCUUCAAUUUACCUUGUGAAACGAUCGCGCGAUAGAAAUCCGCCAGGGAGACCUCACUGAUGUAACCGGAGGAACAGAUGCUUCUUCAAUUUUUCUAGGAACUUUCUCGAGAUGAGAAGCUAACAAAUAGGUUCUUCAAUCUCUACACGUCUACCUAUAGACUCGCGGAGAUGUCGCUUUUUAUUUAUUUAUCGAAUAAUUUAUAGAUUCUAUAAAUUAUCUAGCGAUAAUCUCGACAUGUGAAUACCGCCGACAGGAUUUUUGAUUUCACUCGUUUUUCGAUUGCUUUUAGUAGCUUUUUUUUUUGCAAAAAGUGUGUUUGACGUGGCUUCCAUUGAUUUGAUAAUUUAUAAGCUCUAAAAAGAUAGUAUUAGAAAAAUAAUGUUCAAGCUGAAUCUGGAAAUUGAAAUCUUGAUAUUUGUUGUCUUAUGUGAACAAAGGGAGAAUUUAAGAGAAUUUCUCGUAUUGCAUAACAAUCGAGAGUUAAAUCUCCUCUUUAUGGAUUCAUUUUUUAGAUUCUCACCGAGACGUUUUCUGUAGGAGGAAAAAUAGAGAGGAUAAAACGAGAGGCGGGUGUUUUCCUAGGGGAAUUAUCGUUGCUUGAAAAUUCAUAAAUCGAGACAACAAAAAGUGGUUUCCAUGGACAAAAGAGGAUUCCGGAGACGGUGUUAUACAUCUCGGAUGGGAAUAUCGGUUAUACCUGUAAUUUUCCUCGCGAAUAAGGUCCCGAGGCUGAGGCGAGAAAAUUGCUUGCGAAAAGAAUUUCGUUCUCGGUGACGAUCCUCAUCUAAUUUCGUCGAUGAGACGCGCGCCAUUCUCCCUUACGCUCGCGCGAGGAAUUCGAUUUGCUCGCGCAGAAAGGGGAGACGAAACGAGAGAAAAAAAAACAAGAAAGAAGCACGAGAAGAAAGUAUAAAUAAGUAAGCAUGCGAGAAACUCAAGAGAGAAAACCGAUCUUCUCUUUCAUAUCAAUCUCUGUGCAUCGAUUAGACUAUCGAGUGCCGUGUUACUUGAUCACAUACUGAGAACUUGAUUUUUUAUGUAACUAGAAUAAUCUGUGCGUAGAAGAUAAAAUUAAUCGCUGUCUACUCGAUAUAGAUAUAAUUUCUUACGAAUUUCAGCUUCGACGUUACAAAUGAACAUUCUGAGGAACAAUGCUAACGAGGAACGAGUAUCAGAUCAAACUUGAUGAUUCAAAUCAAACACAGAAUUUCUCGUAUCUGUGUAUCUGUGUGGAAACUAAAAGUCGACAAUCUGAUGACGAAUAUUACAAAAGAAGACGCGUCAGAGCAGAAUUAAUGAAUCACUAUCGACAAACACCCCAUUCAGCAGUCUCAAUUCAAAACAUUUAAUCGAAAAAAGCAAAGUCCAUGUGAAAGUUCUCGUUUCACGAUGUACGAACGUAGUUUGGAAACGAGAUCGAGAUCCAACAAGAUAUGGAGUGGAAAGAAGGCCACGAAUAUCGUUUCAUCGUCGUGAUAUCCCAUCUCUAUUCAUAGAGAGACAAUGGAACGCGAGGUUCAAACAGCUUAACAUAAUGAUCAACGCUCGAACUACGCGACGCCGAAUCGGUAAAUCGCGUCUGAACGCCUUGAACUCCUUUAAUCCGAGUAAUUGGUCGAGAUCUGGUUAAUUGGAUUGAGCGAGUUCGCGAAGCGUCGGAAAUUUGCGAGAUUCUUCUUGAUUUGAGAUGUUUGAGGAUGUUGAAGGAUAUUGGGCUCUUGUAAUAUCGUGAUUCUUUUAGGAAUUCUCAGGAAUCUGGAUAAGAAAUUUUCCUCGGAUCAAGCAUAAUCGGCGUCCAUUUAUUUCAAACUGCUUGCAAGACUAAAGUAAAAUAAAAAAAGAGAAUAAAAAAAUAAUAUCGAAUGCAAUUUUGAUACUGUACGUUUGAUUCUUUUUAUUCUUCGAUAGGACUCGUCGAUUCCGAAUUCGAGAAAUUUUCUCUCAAACUAUCUAGUUAACGAUAUUUUUUACUUGAUAACGAUCUAUUACAAUUUAAUUUUUGUUAACAAAAAAUCUGUAUAUGGAUGAUCUUAAAGAAUCCUAAAAUACCCGGUGUAUCAAGGAAACGUGAUCAAAGAAAGACCAAAAUGACGAUGAAGAAUAAGCCCGGAUAUGUGUCAGCAGGUGUAUAAAGUCUCUGUGUGCGUACUGUGUUAGAGAGUGUAACGACAGCGGACGAACAAUGCGUUAACGGGAAUUAAGAGCACGGUGUUAACAAACUGUGCAAUCGUUGGACGAUAUACACACGAGAAUCGGAGAUUACAUAUUUGUCGUAGCAAACAGCAGUGGAACGACGAGUCUCAGUGUUCAGAGAAAGGAUCUACUAAAAGUUAGCCUAGGUAACCUCGGGAUAGUCGCAUCCGACAAAGCAUGACCUUUCCAGUCACAUUCCCCUCUUAAAUAUUUCAAGUAUUCCGCUUAUAUCGAUACGAUAUCUCGUCGAGUAAAAUAUGCUGUCUAUUCCUAGACGAUAACAACGUUUACAAAGUAGUAUCGAGGCUAAACCUCAGUCUCGCUGUCGUUGAACCGCCCAGCGUUACAAAUUCCAACAAUCUUAAACGCAAUUUCUUUUCUAGUUGAAUUCGUAAUUUCAUUAUCAUACAUCUGGUUAUCGUGUUGUGUUGCAGAAACAUUUGCCAAAAUCUAGGUACAGAGCUUCUCAAUAAGACUGAAUAACAGAGUUUCUUGUUAAUAAGCUACUUGAGUAGUAAAGAAUAUGACAGCGUAUUACACGAUGUAUUACACGAUACAAAGUGAUUGCACUUCGAACGAGUAGAAGUUUUCACGAUAAUCAGAAUAUUUCGAUGAAGAGAUGCUUCUAAUGCAGUUGCAUAGUCUUGUUAGUCAGAUACUUGUUUGGAUAAAAAUUUGAAGUGCUAUUUCAGUGAAAAGAAUUAUUUCAAUGAAAUGCUUGAAUAUCGAUGAAAAAUAAUAAUUUUUCCAACACUCGCUAGACUUUCCUACGUCAAGGAGAUAUAACGGAAAAGAUGAAUCGGAAGAAAUCUCACAUUCGACUCAUCGUUGAAUUUCAUGUUGAAUUUCUCGAGCCUCGGCAUCUUUAAUUCAUAAAUUUACGUACAACAGGGUGGUUAACCAGACAUUAAGAAAUUAACUUAACACAGCCCUCGAAGUAGGGCACCUCUUUCAGAGAGAUAAUCUUUUCUCCCCCGAAGCGAAGCUUAAUGAUUGCGUAGAGGUGGCGGUCACGAAGAAAUUCUUGGACGUUCCUUUAGAUAAGCGUGCAAAGCGAGUUAACGGGGUAUGAAGCUCGAGAGUCUUUUCUUUUCUUCCUUAUUUUUUCUAUUUUUCUAUUUUUUUUUUUUUUUUUUUUUUUUUCUAGCUAUACGAAACGAGUCAUCCGUUCUAGAAAAGAAGCGAGUCUCGGAUAUUGAAUUUCGUGCAGUGAAUUUCAUAUCGGAGCAGAGGAAAUUCCUUUACUAUUUUUUGAUUUGUAGUCGACCGUACGGUGAAUAUUAACGAGGCAUUAAAGGUUCCGUUAGCAGACUGGGUCAUGCUUUUUAACCUGAUAAACUCACUUUUCUCUACGAAUCGCGCAAACGAAUCUUAAUUGCUCUGUAUCAUGUGAAAGAAUAUCGAACGAUAUUACGAAGGUAGAUGUCUGUUAAUUUGCUUCCCGAUAAUGCUGAUUUUUAUUUGAAUACGUAGUACACCGCAUAAUAUAUUAUUACGUACGGUUGCUCACGGAAGUAUUUGCACGUUUGUAGAAGAUUGUUUAUCGCGACCGUUGUUUCUUCAUCGACGUCACACAACCGUCAACUACCAAACGCACCCAUUAUCCUUCUCAUUACGUGUCAAUCUCUAACCAACAUUUUUAUUCUACCAAAAAUCCACCUAAGUAAAACAUCGAAUAACGUAUUAUUUCGUAUGAUCAAUCUCGUCUAUCCUCUCUGGAAAAUUCGCAUUUCGUCCAUCCAAAAGCUGAUUUAUCCUGCGUCCUACAUCACCUAUUAUCCGUAACACAUAUCCGCCAUUAAACAUUCCAAAUCUCUCUAGGAAGAUCUAAAAUCCCGAAAAAAGCAUGCAAUCUUUCUCUCUCGCAAGAGAGAAGAAGCAUCCAUGACCUUUGCGCGUGGCUCGUCCUUCGAUUAUUUCGGCGAUGCGAUGGUCCGCGUCGGCGUCGUACGUUUUCUACGCGGACAAUAAAUGGAACGUGGCUUUCGAGGCUGGUUUUCGCAGGUCCGCUAGUAGGGAGCCGUUUCUACGAGGGGAUCUCGUCGCAAGAGAGGAAGAAGGGACGAACACACACACACACACACACACACACACACAUGUACACAGAGAAGAGAAAGAGAAAGAGGCAGAGAAUUUUGGCACGAUGCCAUGGUUGCUACAAAGGCUUGCUCUCUCGAGCGCGGAGCUACCGUGUGUUCCGGAGGGUUUCCAAAGGCAGGGUCCCGCCUCGAUGCUCCUCAGCCUCUCUCUAGCCUUUAGUUCUGUCUUUCUCUCUGCUGUGCCAACCUACCCAGUCGACCCUAACCUCCAAAUCGGCCGGGUCUGGAUAUCCCUCCCUAGGCGCACGUCGGAACAAAAACCUGCGACUUAGAGGCUGCAUGAGAAACGUGGCGAGCCUUCUGGCCCUGGCUGGCGCGUGCGUGGCCCGAUUCUUCGACACGCCAAUGCGAUUUUUCGGAGCCGGAUUGUGGAAUCAAAUGCAGCCUGGAGCGGUUAAAUUAACCGCUAGGUAGGCAAACCUCGGGUCAUUCGACGAUUUUCGUAGCAAGUGAAAUUUCACUCGUAAAUCUCUUGCGAACGAAUUUUUAUUUUUCGCGGAAAACCUUUUAAACGGAUAACUUUAAAGCCGAUUGUACGAUGUAGUUAAAACUUCUGUAAGCAUUGCAGAAUUUCUACAGAUUUUCCAAGAGCUUAGCUUAACUCCGAGCGGUAGCUAUGGUGUGUGUAAUAAUAAUAGGGAAAAUGACGAGAAAGGACGACGGAGUAUACGAUGUUACUUUAGAACGUAGUUCGAACGAAAACGACGAUAACAUUAUUCCAUCUGGAAAGAUGUAAUCGUAGAUUGGCGAUUACUACUUGCAAUGUUUGAUCUGAGAGUUAUUAAGAUUGUCGAGCAGAGAUUGCAGAUAGGUACGGUCGGCUUGAUAUCAUUUGUAUGGUUUGAAUUAGGGUACGCUGGCGAGAUUGCUGAUAUAGAGUUUGGAAGGUGGAACAAAUGGAAACAACAGAACAAGAAGUCGUUGUUCAAAUUGCUCUAUAAAAUAGAGUCGUUUUAUUAUCUUGGACCGUGAAAUUCUCGUAUCUCUUUUGGUCUCUAUAUGUAUCAGUAUUCGCGUAUACGAUAACGAACAGAUUAUCACUGCGACAGAUCCUUCAUGUUCUCAACAGUGUACCCAAUUGUAAAGUUACGUUGUUAAAUAUUCCUAAAUAAAUUCUUUGAUAACUAUAGUCCGUAUCGAGACGGGUAUUUCGAUGAUCGAAGCGUAAACAAUUCUUUCGAACGCGCAACGAAUUCUAAAUUUCACGGCGCCAGGGAAAAAGGUGACCACUUUCCAGAGAAUUUAAUUAACAUGGCAUCGCGCGACUGACAAUUUACGGGCGUGCACUCGACUGCAUCAUUAGCGGGCCACUUUCGACCAAAGGACGACAGAUUUACGAGGUUCGUCGGCUGCGCCUACUCCAUUACCUGGCCGUCGAAAUCGCGGCACAACCCUCGACCCUUUGAUACGCGUGUAACAAUCACGCUGGGCGGAUCUUGCUCGCGCCUACAACUCGACCUGACCCCCUACGUUGAUCGAACGUUCAGGCAUUUACCCUCCGACAGUGAGUACGUAAUUCGCUUAUUGCUAAUAUAAAAGUCCUCCUCUACAAAUUGCAACUUCCGGGAAAUUUCAGCGAAGGGCGUAGGAGGGACUUGUGAUUUUUCAAUUUAACAAUUUAAUAAUAAUUAAACUAGAGAAGGUUUUUCCAUGUAUUUAUGGGAAAUGUAAGAACGCAAAGAUGCAGAGAAUGAGCAUGAUACGCGCAAAAGUAUAUAAAAUAUCCAAAGCAGUGCAACGGUUAUAAUUUUCCUUUCCUUUUCUAUAAUUCCUUUUGCUCGCAUUUGGGGGAAAUUUAAAAGUACAAACACGAACAGAACGCGCACAAUAUGCAGAAAUAUAGAAAAUGCUCUAAUUAACGAGUGAAAUAAACUUCUAUAAAAAUUCUCUAUUUCUUUAUUUGUAUUCAGAGAAAUCAAUAAUCUAGCGAUUAGAUUUAACCAAUGGUUUAACCAAUAAAGUUUACACGGAACGGAAACUGCUUUUCUAUUGAAAACAAAACUACACGCCUUACAGAAACGUCAAUUACUAUUUGAUCGUCCAGUUUCACGAGGAUUUUGCGCUUCAAAAGCACGUAUGAAGCGGAAUUAAAAGAGAUUAAGUCUAUGGAUCGCCGUCGGUAGAACGAAUAUAGAGGGAGGGGGUUGGCUAAAAAUAAGUAGCCACGGUAAUUAAAUCUGUCGACUGAAAACUCGGAGAACGUAAAUCUUCGCGCAUUCGUAGUGUAUUUCGCGACACAGUGCGCGGUUGCAGUUUUACGAGCUCGUAUAUACGUCUUAAGCCUGUGUAAUCCGGGAUCUUUGUUGGCGCAUACGACGUGCUCCGUCGGGUGGAAUUUCGAAAAAGACUCAACACGAUGAUGGAACACUGCGUACAUUCCCUGUUGGCAGUCUGGUGAGCGUCGUUCCCCGCGGAAUCUGACCUGCGUUCCCUACACGGGCUCCAGGUAUCGGCAUGACCCUGGAAUUAAGCGGUUCCACGCGAAGAAACCCGUUCAUCAGGGCGUCCCUUUGGGCUGGGCGUCUCUCUGUGAGAAAAGCCGGUCGACCAGCCUAGAAUCGUGCCUCGAAAUUCUUCGACCGCGAAACCAGCGCACGUAAGAACCAGCGAGGAAGCAACCUUGGGAACGAUUUUCGAUUUUUCGUCGAUUUGUUAGCUUGCGUAAUAUCUGUGUUUGCAUUGCUUUCUAUGCUACGUUAUUUACAUAAUUUUUCGAUUCGAUCGCGUUUCUCUCAUUACCAAUCGUAUUCACGUCGUCAUGCGAUUAUACUUCAAUGAGUUAGGCAUAAAGAAAUGAAAAUAUAGACAUUUGUUUCAACCUUUAAAUACUCUCACGUAUUUUACUUGCUAUAUUUUACCUACUUUUCUGUAGGUUAUCUAAUAAUCUGUCGAUUAUUUUUUUACUUACCAUACGCUUACCGUUUCUCAAUUGUUUGAUUUCAAAAAUGAAGAAUCCUCUAACGCUAAAGAUCGUACCGUCAAAAUCUCUAAAUAUUGUUAAAUAAAUAAAAAAAGUACGUAAAAAGUCUAGUUACCACUUUGCCACAAUUAGAACGACGAAAGAAAAAAGUCGGAGAGUUUGCAGCAAACUUUCAAAAAUUUCCGAAUCUAAAGUUCACCAGAUUUCAAAGACGAUUUUAAAGGUACCGAAGAGUUGCAUGUCGCGAGACUUUCUGUCUUCUGUCGAUAUUAUAAUAAGCACUUUCCGUGUGUAUCCAACUUUAGGUUGUUUCAGGAUCGCAAUUAAGGGCCGACGAUUAAGGUCGAUUCUCGUUCAAGUGGCGACAAUGAAACAAUAAUGCCUUCUCCGCGAUAGCCUCUCUAACUUCGUCCGCCGUCAUCGUUAUCAUCCAUUGUCAUUACCGUGACGAUUCUGGCCGUGCCAGCUCGCGAUCUCACGUGAGAUUCAUUAUCCAAUCUGUGGCGAACGCGCUGUGACACAGUUCACGGCGUUCCUCGAAAGUCUGCUGACGGUUCUGUACGCGUUUCGAAUCGUUGUACGUAGCUUGACCGGCGUAAUCACGCUUCCGGUGUUGCAUCGUGACACGGUCGUUGGUCUUACCACUUUGAGAAUCGUGUUCUCGAAAUGGCAGACAGUCCUGGGAUUUUUGAUAACAGAUACCAGCAGCUACAACAAAUUCAGACGCGAAAAUUGUUGACCGAAGAACGAAGAAAAGUUCUAUCGAAUCUUGUGGAAUUUCGAACAACGAGAAGAGAAAUUAAGAAGACAUGAUCCAUGUUUAAGUUCUGGAACAACUUCCACCUGAGAUAAACCAGUCUUGAAAGAAGAAUAAAUAUCUCACGAGAGCUGGUAAAUACACAGCAGAGGAGAGGACAAGCGUAAGAGAUCUUUCACUCGGAAAGUAUUCGAGUAAUCAACGAAAAAGCAUCUGUCGCGUGGAGGGUGGAAAUUCUAUUUGAGAAUAAUUGACAUUUCUACUAGAGCGUGGCAAUAGCGACGGGAAGGAUGAAGUUUUGUACCUCGUCUCUCGCGCUAAGUGUUUCUGUUUGACGAUAUCGCGCGGAAAGUGCGAGCGUUAUAGCACUCGCAAAGUGCAUGCUUCUGUCUUUGAAGUUUCACCGGGGUUGCAAUCUGAUAUUAAUGCACGCUCUAUAAUUAUUAAUCGACGAGACGCGCAACGAAGGAACAGAACCCUCAGCAACUAGUUCGUAAUUACCGUCAGCGCGUUUCUCAAUUAAGUAAUCCAACGUAAUGUCGAUUAUUAUGAGAUUCGACUUUUCGCGCGGACAUAAUUGUCUUUUCGAGUAACCGUAGCAAUUUCGACGUAAUUAAUUGCGGAUCAUCUAAUUCGUUUUCGCUAUUUCGUUGAAAUAAAUAAACUCACGGAUGUAUAUAAUUCAUUUUUUUGAAAUAAUGAACGCUAAUUAUUCGUUUAAAUAAUGAAAUUUAUUGAAACAAAAACAAAUGAUAAUAACUUCUUUUAUAUUCAAUUCCAUGAUUAAACUACAUUCUGCCAAAGUUAAGCAAGUAAACUACCUAUCUACUGACUAACAAUGACCACUUUUAAAUCUCAUUUAUGAGCAAGAUAUUUAUCAUGUAGCAUAAAGUUGCACUCCGUAAAAUUCUAUUUAAAAUCCAAUUAUGCCUCCCCCGCGAAACUUUUAAUCGCAAGCUCUAAACGUUGUAUUUACUAGGCAUACGUUACUUGGCAAGCGUAAGUGGCGCUGAAAAAAAAUUUCAAUUUCAAAUCGCACGCGAAGGAAACCGCUUACGACAAAGUUAAGGAUGAACAAAGCGCCCACAAGCGCAUUACACAAGUUACUACAGAAAGGUUCCAGUAGCUUGCUCCUGUUACUUUCUUUAUGGUACUUCUAAAUUAUCUAGCCCUUGCAAUUUUGAUACAAGAUACGUAUCAUACACGUUACUUUCUGGAAAUUUUCUAAUCGUAAUAUUAGAAUAUGCAAAUCAGGUUUUCUGAGGAAAUCUUAAUUCUACGAUACGAGAGUAUAUGAUUAGCGUUUCACUUUAUCAAAAACCGAACGAUUAGAAACUCUCGAUGGAUUACAUUAAUUCCACUUCUACGAAGUUUAAUUACAGGCACGUACCUACAAUUACUUAUCAAACGAUCGGUAAUUAACAAUGAUUACCACUAUCUAUGCUUCUUCAUCCGUAUAAAUAUCCAUCGACUAUGCUAAUAUACAACCGUCUAAUACAUUUCUUCUUAAAAAAGGAACAUGUCCCUUUAACUAAACAACUGUGUAUACGAUUCUAAUUGCUUUACAAAUUCCAAGCACAACGAUCGCUGUGCUCGGAAAUGAGAAAAACGCUGCUUAAUAAAUCUCAUAAGAAUAGCGUGACUCACGGUACACCAGGCGAAUCGUAUUCUUACUUCUAAAUCAUUGCACACUUACCUGAAACAGAGAAAAUACAACGAGUUUAGUUAAAUAGCACAAAGGAAGGUUUAUCCGUGUACGAUCAAGUUAAUUGGCAAAUUGCGAAGAGGGUCUUGUAGACGACGGGAUUCGAGAUAAACGCGUUCAAACGGGGCAAAUAGAGAUAACCCUCGAGAAGGAGCGAUACGCGGAGACUUGUACGGCGACCCGAAAAUUGUGACGCUAUCGGGACAGAUAAUUCGCAAACAUAAUAGGACGAACACGGUCGCGCGUUGGUCAGACCCGUCGCAUGGAAAUUAGAUUCGUCCGCGCACGCGAACCCACACACAUGGUUUUCCAACCGUGCAGAAAAUCGAUAUCGACCUAUCGUAUAACACACGCGCGCACACAUACACACACAUAAAAUCUUUCUCUCGCAUACUUUUCCUCUUUGGUGUUCCUACUCCCUCGAUGCUUCUUAACGAUGCUUUCGUGAAAUUGUGCUGCGAUCACGUGAUUUGAAAUUACGUCAAACAUUGACCGAAAAUCGUGAAACGAUCGACGAUCGAUUUUAUCAAUGAGAGUUCGUAUUUUAUUUUGAUAUUUGUGAUUACUUAAGCCGUAUUACUGUAACAAUUGAACAUUUUUCUUUGUCUUUGAAGAUAUUGAACAGUAAUAAUCGGGAGUUACAAGCUGAUGAAAGAAUUUGGUCGCUCGUAGACACCUUCUACGAAUAUAUUUUGAAACUUAUACAGCUUAUUAGCUGUAUUACGAGAGUCGGUUGUCAUGAUCAUGUUGCAUGACCAACUCCUUGUUCAUACUGCGAUAAACAUCGUAGAUUCAUCCUGCAAUAAACACCGUAAUCUGUUUCUCGUUCCUGAAUCAUCCCGAAGUUCGACCCUUUUUCCUCUUCGUUCCUUCCUGAUAAUUGUACCAAACAUAUUAAUCAUCCUCACCACUAGGCUAUGAGAACCACUUUUCCACGAUAGAUCAGCAGAGAAUUCUACAGUCGGUAUCAGCGUGCAGUUACCCGUUACGAAUAAAUCCUCUAAUUUUUCAACGUGUGUUGUCAAAUUUCCACCAUCCGAGAUCCAACAAUCAUAUCGAUAAAGUUUGAGACAAAUCUGAAGAUAUUACAAAUAACGUAAUAACGUAAAUUCUUAGGGCAAAUCAGACGAUUGAUUGUGGAAAAUCGAGUUAAUUUAGGGAAUAAUUAAAUUAAAUAUAAUAACAGUUAAUAAGAAAUCUACUAAAAAAAUUUUUUCUAAGUCCUAAAUUACCGUUCUCCUCUCGUGAUCUAUUGUAAUCAGCAAAUGACUGCCGGCAAAACAAAACAAAAGUAAAAGAUGUCGGUUGGAGGGUAGUUUGAAUUCUAUAAAAUUUACAAAUAUAUAUAGAAAUUACAAAAUAUUCAGUGCAUCGCGAAAAUAAUAAAAACAAUCAAUUAUUCGUUAUAUUAAUAAACUUCGAAAUUUUCACCUGUGUUCUAUGGCUAUUUAUGCCGUGUACUGAUAUUUUACAAAAUAUAUGUUUCCGAUAAUUGUUUCGUAAUUUCCAAAUUGAUCAAUUUCAGCAAUAUAGGGAUGGCGGUCGUGUCUCGUUAAAGUGGGAAUAAAAUUUCAACACGUACGAUAUAACAAAGACAAAAGUUGCCUACGGUAGUUGUUCAAACAGUUGUUGCCAGGCAAUAUGAAAUAUGCGCUUGUAGUCGAAGACUUCAUAAAGAAUAAAGUAGAUCAGUACGAUUUCCAAGAGUCGAAUACCAAAACCGAAAUAUUCCAGAAAUAAGAUAUAUCCGAAUGACCAGUUUAUUCGUACGCCACCGUUAAUAAGUUGAAACAAUUAAACAAUUUUGAGAGUUAUUUAGACGAAAGCAUAGCGUAUAAAAAUAUGAAGCGAGUCGAUAAAACGUUGAACGUCGAAAGGAAAACAUUUUAAUGCCUUUCGAAAUUGCUCCUGAAACCGUUGAAAAAAAAAACGGUCAUUGACUUUAACGUUCGACGUAUAACCGAAGUAGGGAACAAACGAACGAGGCGAUUGAAUUUUUAUCACGUCGCCGAUAUAUUGUCGUGGCUUUCACUGUUUUUGUUUUUAAUACGAUUCGAUGGAGUAUAUUAACGCGGCACGGCGUAUCCGCGGGAAAGCUGCGAGACCCCGAAUAUGGUUAAACCUUUUAAUGAAAUCGGUCGAGAGAAUAAUCGCGGAUCGGGGUGAAAUUUUUAUUCCGUGGAACGAUAUUAAUACAGAGUAGCUAUUGUGCUCGCGAUAUCAUUGGAUGCGUGUUCCAGGGAUUUACCGGUAGAAGUGUUAGUCAGUGGACGAACGUUGAACGAGGAUCGAUGCGUCCAUUAUUCAUUUCUAUUACAAUGUACAUACAAACGUUAAUAUUUUAUCAUCCCCUGUUUGAUUCCCGUUGUCCGAAUCAUCGGAGCCUCUGCUGGUUCAAAUUUUUCCACUAAAGAGUUAUUAACCCCUGCUAAUAAAUCGUGAACAGCCACGACAUUUUCAUCGCUCCGUCAAUUUAUUAUCAUCGUUAGACAGAGUUUAGUUUUUCGAAAAUUAAGAUCGUUUCAGUUGGAAUUAAUUUAUCUGAUUUUCCAAUUCGUCUGAGUUCGUAAUUGUAAGUAGACGUAGAUACAAAAAACAGAAGCAUCUUACGAAAUGGCCGAGGUAUUCUUUAAAAGGAUCUACAUAUGUUGUAGACAUUCCCACUAGUGGGAAUGUUGGAAGCAAUUAUUCACAGAACUAUCGGAAAUAGGAAAAACUUGUUUGAUUUGGAUGAGAAAAUACGAUAUUCGACUAAAAGUUUCUUCCACUGCCACAUUUCAAAACCAAUUUCAGUCUGUGAAAUGGGACUGCGUGUUUUUAUUAUCCCCUCCAGAUUCUCGUAAAUAAACCUACUUCGUUGUAGUGGCUAAAGUUUACUGUAUAAAAACUGUUUCAUCUUUCAACGCGCCAUGGUGUAGUUCCGCUUCGAUUUGUACGUGAAAACAUGCGUUCACGCUUGCGAAAAGAUUUAGCAGGAGCAAGCAAGCGGAAUCGAAGCUUAAUACGAGAAAAAGGAGACAAAGGAAAGGACAAAAAGGCUGGAAAUCUGAGAAAUACGAAAAAAAAAGAAGAAAAGCGAAAGCGGGAGGAAAUCGAGAGAAAGGAAGCAGGAAAUAAAAUAAAUGAAAAGGAAAGCAGGGUGGAAAUCUGAAAAGAGAAAAAAAAGGAAGCAAAAGACACGAGAUGAAAAAGAGAAAAUCCAAUAAAAGAAUAGAAAAGAAGAAAAGUGGAAGGAAAUCUGAGGAAAGCGGGAAAAAGGAAAAAGAACGGGGCAAAGGAAAGAAAAAAAAAGAAUAUAGAAGAAAAGGAAACUAAUAGAGAUACAGUGAAAGAAAAGAAAAAUGAGAGGAGAAAAAAAUGAGUAUCGAUUUUCAGCAAGAAAAAAGACAAAAAUCUGCGGACGUGGUACGAAAACUCGCCACUCCACGAACGAGCAUGAUAUCUAACCCGGUUACUGGUGACGACGAAAGGAUUUUCGUCUCGGUCAUCCACGUGGGAACGAUCACUUUAUUCCCUCCUUUUCGCGUGAAAACGAUUGAUACGGGCUCGUGUCCACCUCGGUAUCGCCGCCAGCUGCGCAACUUCGCUCGUAAAUUACAUUUGCGUUUUAAUAUCGGCGCAGUUAUAAAUCCUCAUAACGGUAACACCAAGUCCUUCCUUUUGGCUGUUUCGCGUUAAGCGGUUCGUCUUUUUCCAUCGAUACAACUGGACCACGUGUAUUGUCCGAGUUAAAAAGCUCGAUGAAUUUUUACGCCAUUUCCGCCGAGGAAAUUAAAGUCAAGUUCUGAAUAUCGGUAACUGUGAGCAAACGCGCUUAGUGGAUUUAUAGCAUUGUUCGUUUAUGUUCAUGUUAUGAUCCACUAAUUUUAGUCAAUGUAAUUUUCAUAAGAAAAUUAAGAUAUAAAUGAAUUAUUAAAGCAUUAAGAAAUUAUAAAUUAAAUUAAUUAUAAAUUGAUAAGCGAAAUAUCGUCGAUUUCGGAUUCUAAAUAACACGAGCACUCGCUACGUGAAAACCGAUCCAGAAAUUAUUGGUGAAAAUAACUCUACAUCCUACUCGGCAGUGUGAAAAUGCAUCUAUUAAAAGAGAAAUGCCGUGUAUAAAGAAUACUAUAUAGUCUCUCUCGUCGAGCGUGAGUGGAAAAACAGGAUGAAAAGAGGACUCUCUCUCUCUCGCUUCCCCAUCUGGAAAGAUGUCGGAAAAUAAUUUUUGUCCGUAUGAGAAGCUUCGCUUUUGAUAAAACCUACCAUUGAAAUCAGUGGUGAAACGUUGGUUAAAUUAACUGGCUUUUCCUUUCAUUCGCUGGUAAAUAAAAAUUCUUGGAAUUCGUAAAAGAGAGAAAGCUGAAUUGCUUUUGUAGCUGAGCGUGCUUUUAUAUCUCUAUCAAGGUUGUAGUUCAAGAGACAUAAUUUGCCGAGAGCUUUUGAGUAAUGACUCCGUUUUAUCGUUCAAAUUUUACCGUGUCUCUUCUACAUUCGGACAUAUUAUUCCAGAGGCCAUUCCAGAUGGCCUGCCACCGUUCCUCGUUUUUAUCGUCGACAAAUAAAAUAGCGACUCUGAACCUAAAGGGACUCGAUCUCCCCUGAGACCCAUAGGCAAACUUCUUAGGCUUUAUUGAGAAGUUUAUCAAUUUUUACGAUAUUUCUUCGAAUCAACGGCCGCAGUAGAUUAUCGUUGGCUCGGUCGUACAUCCAAUUGUUGGUAUUAUCGUGAGGCAAUUUGUUUUACUUGACACGUUCAGCCUUUGUGUUGCUUAUAUGCAACGUUUUAACAAGUUAUUACCUUGUUAUCAUAUUGUUGCGACUACUCGUGUGACACAGCGUAUCAAUCCGAAUAUUCUAGCAAAAAUUAAAAAACCGCUCGAUUCUAGUAAAAUUUCACUUGACUUAUCGAUCACAAAUUAAUAUUUUCCAAGUUCCAUCGAUCCUAUUAAAAAUUCCCUAUUUGAAUUUCAGCAAAUUUUUCUUCAUCAGCCGCAAAAAUUUGAUAUUCCAAUCCUAUUCGAAUCGAACCGAAUGAAUAAACUUUCUUCGGAAUAUCGUAGUUGGAAAAGGUACCUAUCAUUUGUGAGAGGAGAGGAGGAGAGAUAGCCCGCAGAGAUGACCUCUGUCAUUAUCUUGAAGCGCGUUCAGAGACGAAUGCAGUCUCUGCCGUUUCCGUUCUGCGUUCUCAACUCUUCUACCCUUUCUUCUCCCUUCCUGAUAUUUCAGCCUCCCUCCACUACGUUCAUGGAACAAGUAUAAUGAACGAGGCACACCAACAUGCAGGAGAAAGAGAGAGAGAUUUCGUAUACGAGGCUGCGAGAUCGAUACUCGUGGCUUUCUGCGAGAAACGCGCAGCGAGAAAAGCUUCUGGAAAUGCGAAAACGCUGACUGCGGCUGUACGGAAAGCUGCCCUUCUUACUUUUCCUUCUUUCUUACUUUUAUAUCGAUAUGCAAGCGUCGGGAGAUCUUACAGAGGAAAAGAAAAAAUCUACUUGUCACGAUACGUAGAUCAAAAUUUGCGAUACUCGAGAUUAUUAUUCGUAGUGAAUUAUUUUUAGAAAAUAAUUCGAAAAUCGUAAGACACUUGCAAGCGAAGUUUUUCUAUAUGGACGUGUUUACUCGAGGAUCGUGUGUUUGUGAAUACGUAGGUACAGAACAGAGAGGACAUGAAUCUGGGUUAGGUAGGCUCGAAGACUUUCAGCAUGCGGCAGGUGAAGAAAGAAUUUCCGAGAAAACCUUGAGACCAUCGUCAAAGUACAAUCGCAGUCGUUCGCGGACUCUGGCCCUUGUUUGCGAGUUGUAUAUUUCCAGCUGCACCGAAUAAAAUGCUGCCACAGCGGAUCAAGUUGGACCGCAUAGAUCGGACGAUGUUGGAUAAGUCACGCACUUCGAAUUCUCUCAAGUUCCAAUAAAAAGUUCAAGCGACUGCAAAAGGCAAACCAAGGAAACACUGUAACUAUGCGGCGACGUUAGAUGAACAAAGAGCCAAGGAAAAUUCGCGAGGACGCGUGCAGACGAGGGAACGGUGUCAAGUUCCCGGCUGAACAUCGAAAAUACUCGCGACAAGUGGUACUUAACUCUGCAAAGUAAGGGACAAAGCGGAGCUAGGCGCGAGGACGGUUCUACGAGAGCGGAAAGCGAGCUUUAGAAAGUCUAGGAUGAUGAUUCAACCAACAGAAACAGGACCAGUUCGCUGUGUGCGUGAGAGAAACUGGAGGGGGUUGAUAUGAAUAACGCAUCUUUGUCUCAAGACGUUCAUCCGAAGAGAUGAACGAAAAAUUAACAAAGAGACCUAACGAUGACGACGCUUUAGUAUUCGAAGAUCGGUUUAAAAAAUUGAUGGACGAAGAGCGCAGUAAAUACAAGUUCGUUGGUCGGUUUCUUAACUCUUAGAAUUAUCAGAGUUCGCAAAAUAAACAAUUUUUCUUGAUUUUAAUUAAGAAUUUUAUUUCGUAAGAUGAUUUAAUCUACAUUUAGUUUAGUGAAUAUUUUGCAGUUUUAAAUAAUUUUAAUUUUCAUAUAAAAGAUUACAGAAAUUUUCUGUAGGCACAAUUUUUCUGAAUUUUAAUUACGAAUUUUACUUAAUAAAAUUAUUUACUUUAAAUUUAUUUCAUAUUUCAAAUUUUAAUUAAUCUUUAUUCCUAUAAACGAUUGUCCGGUAUGGAAAAAGGUUUGCAAAUUCCAAGAGCUUGGAAGCUUUAUUCUUUAAUCGCCAGUGGCUCGAAUAGUAAGAGAAUUCGACAAAGUCGAAAAGAAAUUUUAGAUUAUGCGUGGGACCCAAAGUGGUAAGCUCUCAUAUGGGACUGAUUGAUGGGCGAGUAUAAUCCAAUCUGACUGCGGGAAGAUUAUUAGUGUACCUUGUUCAAAGGGAGUCGUGAAACUUGGAGAGUUGCUGGGUUAUGCUAAACCUAGAACUGAAUUCAAUGAAUUGAAUUACGAGGUGACGCGGUUCUUCUCGUAAAGCCUGACACUAGAGAAGUGCAUGAGCGGGACUAGAUCAAUAAAGAUUCUUCUUCAGAAAGUAUUAUCCACAUAACCCAACUUAAAAUAUCGAAGCAUCAUCUUUUAUGAAUAAGUAAAUUCACUUAGAAUGCCAACCUAAUUAAGAAUAGCUACGGUAAUGUUGCAUAUUUCAUUUGGUAUGCAAUGGAGUCUCGAUUAUCGCAGUCCCAUUUAACCAAAGCUGCAUAUUAUCGCAGGCCUUUUGUACUUUACCACAAGUUCAUCUUUUUCGAAAUUUUAACAAGAGGACUAUGAAAGUGUAAACAGUGAGAUAUGGAAGUAGUGGAAGCAAUUAAUCAAACUUUCAACCGAUCAAAUAACUGAUUAAAACUAAAUACAUCUACAACAUUACAUUAUCAAUAUGUUUCCUAUGAUUGUACACUUAUGUACAUUUAUGGACACUAACCGACCUUACCGUAUUAUCCGAGUUUUCGAUUAUCCAAGAUAAGCCCGGGCCAUAUCACCUCGGAUAAUCGAGACUCUGCUGCGUUUAUUUGCACACAUGACGCCUUCGAAUGACUAUAAUCUCUAAAUAGUUUCGCUCCUUAUUCCGAAAAUAACUGAGUCACUAUAUCCUAACAUUUUCGAAGCAUUGAAAUUUCUACUAUUUUCCCUCGAACUCUUCACUUCCAAACGUCAAACAACGUGAAUAACUGUAUCAACAAUGAGUAUAAGGAUACCAACAAUCCAACGAAGUUCUCUAACAAUGUAUCUGAAUUUGUUGUACUUUCGCUAAACUAAAAAUCGUACUACGUAUAUGGGACAAGCGUGGCCCACAUAUAUCAAGGCGACCAAUAGAAAAAUAUCAAGUAGCGACAAAAGAAUAAAAAGAUAAGCAUCCGUACGUCGUCUGAAGGCACACGUUCCAGUACACGUUUCGAAGAUCGAAAGCUGGAAAGAAUGAAAAGAGGUGGUCGCGUCGAUACGUCGGAACCUUGAAGAGAGCCAGCGACAGCGAAGAUGUGAAGACGACGCGAAACGAAGUGAGAAAAGAGAGCUGGUAUACGAAAGGAUAGACAGAGAGGAGAGAUACGAGGGGUGCCUUCGGUGGAUGGAAACUGCAGGCUGCGUGGGUGGAACGGGGAAACGAGGGGUAAAGGGAGGAUAGCAGAGCAUCAGGGGCGGAUGCGUGGGUGUUCCUGGGCCCCAGAUGACUUAAAGAGAAGCUGCGACUAGCCCGGACCGAUCGAUAUCUGCACCGACAUUGCCACCGCGACGACACGUCGCGGGGUUUUCCCGUCUGGAAUUUCUUCCCCUCUAGCCAACAGAGACUGCAACGAUACUGCUGUAGUCCCGUGGGAACACGAGGAUAUUUUUACGAAGAUAGGGAUCGUUCUUAAGACGAAGGAAAUUACUGCGAGACGUCGAGUGUUGCUCGACACCUGCCCAGCUUUUAAUCCAAGUUGAGGGAACCUUAUAACUCCUGGCAGAUAAGAGAACGUAGGUUGAAAUCGAAGAAAUGGUGAAUUCUAUUUGACGGAGGAAAUUCUCUGCGGCGAAUUUCUCCGCUAGACGAAACGAAACGGGGGGAGGGAUUUCGAGUCGCCUUGAAACGCAAAGUACUGGUUAGAGACGCAACUUUUUCGCAGACAGCCCGACGAGUUCAUCGACUACCGUCGGUACCGUCGACGAAGUUACGCCGUUCUGGGAGGGCGAAACUAAAGUUAAACUGGCGCGAAUGCGGCGAACAACUCUUGCCUCAGCUUCGUCUCCCUUGUCUACGCGACUCCGUAGUCGAUUAGGCUGCUGUUCUUGCCUUUGACUUUCGCUAUUUCUCCCGACUCAAUGAACCCAUUACAGUCAUCGUUGUUGUGCACCGUUUUUGUUUCGUGUUUGUAUUAUGAAAACACGACAGAUUAUUAAGUAGGAGAAGAACGUAAGAUGGGACGAUAGAGAAUCUGCGUAAAGAAAUUUGGAUAAAAUAUAUUCGAUGGUGAUAUCAAUUUUUUCAACCAUCUUUCUUCCUCAAAUAUUUCCAUCUUUUGGUAGAUCAUUUUAUAUAUUCCUUUAAAUAUCGACAAUUUUUACGUUCCUAUGUAAUUUUCUUUUUUCCUAUACAAUUUGAACUUUUUUAGUUUUACGUGUAUAAACGUAUAUCUCUUUUGAGGUUCAGCGAAGCAUAAUUCGUUAAAAAUCACACGUUUUAUAUAUCAAAGUCCAAUAGAUGUUUUGAUUAUUUUUUAUUACUUGUAACUCUCACAUAUUAUUUUUCCAACUGAAUUUAUCCUUUGAUAUCAAGUUGAUACAAUAAUAAACAACUGAUACAACGAAAAAGGAAACGUUGAUAUAACUUAAUACAUUUUUCUGUCAAAAAUAAAAGAACGAGGUAAUUUGCAUUGUCCAUGAAUAAUAAAGUACCGCGUACCUCACAUUUAUCUGCGAUAUAAAAAUGUAAAGCAAGUAGUAAGAUGGAUAAGUAUUAAUUAUGUUUCUCUACCUUCGCGAUUCAAACCUGUAGGUAUAUUUCUUCCUACAAAAUCACAUUUGGCCAUUUCUACGGAGCAAAUAUACCACUCGUGUAAUCUCACGUAUAAAUCGCUCAUACAUGACUUUAACUAUUCGCAGAGGAUAUUCCAUUUUUACUCAUAGAGUUCUCAUAACGUCGUUGAUAGAACCGCAAUGUAUGAAACGCGUUGUUCGCGAACGUUCGUUUAUGAUCAAUAAACGGCUCGCGAGGAUUUACCGUUUUUCCCUGGCGCCACCUAAAUCGCACGGACGAGAAACUGUAAACUCAAACGAGCAUCGCAAGCGUUUUUGUCACGGAUAUAUUUAGGAGGUGUGCUCUAUCCGUUUCUUUCGUUCUACUCUUUAUUCAUUUAUUUACGAAGAAAAAAACCUAUUAGCAAUAAGAAAUCCAGGCCAUAAUCGGUAUCAAAUUACACAAUAAAACGUACAAUGUUUGCUAAUUUACCUCCGUGGUAUCACGAACGUUUAUCCACGGUAAUUAAACCAACGAUUAAAAUCAUUUUCUCCAAUAAUCCUAAGAAUUUACGACUUUGAGACUCAUCGCGUUAUUCGAAAAAAUCGUUCCACGUAUUGUAGUAUCAUGUUCUAUAGUAAACUGUAUUUUCUAGUUCGUCGAUAAUUCGCGGUACAGUUUUCCAGAGGGGAGGUGACCCCUUAUCGGCCUUUCGAUUGCGUCAAUUAAUUAAUUUUAAUUACUUCGCACGGUGGCGUGCGUCAGCUGUGUGAAAUAGAAUUAAUCGCGUUUUAUCGGUGGAAGUCGAACGGUAAUCGAAGCGAUUCGCGGGGAAACGCGAGCAAUAUUCAAUCCUGGAGGAUUAAUCAGGGUCCGAUAUUCGAUCUUUCCGAGCGAUCGGUCGAUAUUUCGCUUUUAUACAAAGCCGUUUCGCAUCGGCGUUUCAUUUUCAGACCAAACUUUCCCCUCGAUCGAUACAAUUUUCCCUGACCUGCCCUCGUAUUAUUGAGAAAUUUCAAUUUAACCCAUUAAAGGCUAGAUAAUAGUCUACAUAAUGUCGUACGUGCUUCGAUUUCUCUAAAUGUCAUAAAAUUGUCGAAUACAGAUUCCAGGAAUAACGAGGAAAAAGAUUAGUAGAAUUCACGUUGCACAGCGAGGAAAUCUUUUAAUCGUAACUUUUUACCGUUGCAAACGUGUAGGUCCCUUUGGAAUCUCUGAUUUAUGAUGCGCCAUUAAGGGAUUAACAGCUAGACACGAAUAUGUAAGAGCCGUGAUUAAACAAUACAAAUUGCACUGCAGGCAACAUGAAGGCAGACAAACUAAGCGAACAACG